Molecule: ribosomal RNA, 460 nt
Filed under: uncultured bacterium
Lineage: Bacteria
Description: partial 16S ribosomal RNA
Rfam family: Bacterial small subunit ribosomal RNA
Source: RNAcentral
CCUACGGGGUGCAGCAGUGAGGAAUAUUGGUCAAUGGGCGCGAGCCUGAACCAGCCAAGUCGCGUGAGGGAAGACGGUCCUAUGGAUUGUAAACCUCUUUUGUCGGGGAGCAAAAGACGCCACGCGUGGCGUUCCGAGAGUACCCGAAGAAAAAGCAUCGGCUAACUCCGUGCCAGCAGCCGCGGUAAUACGGAGGAUGCGAGCGUUAUCCGGAUUUACUGGGUGUAAAGGGCGUGUAGCCGGGCUGACAAGUCAGAUGUGAAAUUCCGGGGCUCAACCCCGGACCUGCAUUUGAAACUGUUGGUCUUGAGUAUCGGAGAGGCAGGCGGAAUUCCUAGUGUAGCGGUGAAAUGCGUAGAUAUUAGGAGGAACACCAGUGGCGAAGGCGGCCUGCUGGACGACAACUGACGGUGAGGCGCGAAAGCGUGGGGAGCAAACAGGAUUAGAUACCCGGGUAGUC